UCCGGUUUGGCACCGGCAGUCUCACUAGAGUGCCCGGCUUUACCCGCUGGUAACUAGUGACAAGGGUUGCGCUCGUUGCGGGACUUAACCCAACAUCUCACGACACGAGCUGACGACAGCCAUGCAGCACCUGUGAACGAGCUCCGAAGAGCCCCCAGGGUUUCCCCUCGAGUUCCCGUCCAUGUCAAGCCUAGGUAAGGUUCUUCGCGUUGCGUCGAAUUAAACCACAUGCUCCACCGCUUGUGCGGGCCCCCGUCAAUUCCCUUGAGUUUCAUUCUUGCGAACGUACUCCCCAGGUGGGAUACUUAUCACUUUCGCUUAGCCACUGAGAUCGCUCCCAACAACUAGUAUCCAUCGUUUACGGCGUGGACUAC
This 374-nucleotide unclassified non-coding RNA is filed under the name uncultured bacterium. RNAcentral describes it as "contains 16S-23S intergenic spacer region". The record is from RNAcentral.